Molecule: ribosomal RNA, 297 nt
Filed under: Clostridioides difficile
Lineage: Bacteria; Bacillati; Bacillota; Clostridia; Peptostreptococcales; Peptostreptococcaceae
Description: partial 23S ribosomal RNA
Rfam family: Bacterial large subunit ribosomal RNA
Source: RNAcentral
GGAUGUGGGAUUGCACAGACAACCAGGAUGUUGGCUUAGAAGCAGCCACUCAUUCAAAGAGUGCGUAAUAGCUCACUGGUCGAGUGAUCCUGCGCCGAAGAUUUCCGGGGCUAAAACUUACUACCGAAGCUACGGCAUCAGUAAUGAUGGGCAGGGGAGCUUCCCAUACGGGUUGAAGCAUGACCGUAAGGACAUGUGGACAGUAUGGGAGUGAGAAUGUUGGCAUGAGUAGCGAGAUGUGGGUGAGAAUCCCACAGGCCGUAAACCCAAGGUUUCCAGGGGAAGUUUCGUCCGCCC